GCACUUACGAUGGAUGUCUGAAAAUAAAGUUGAAUGUGUUUUCUUGAGCUAGAAGCACAUGCAACUUGACUCAUCAUCACAAGCUUCAGAUUCAAGUUUAAGAUAGGAAUGAGAAGACCUAUUAAAACAGCUGCAGGGACAGAGUCAGAGCAAGAAAUACUACUGAUCCACCAAUCAGAGGCAGUUCAACAAGGAAGAACAGCCUGAUAGAAGAGGCAGGAAAAGACAGGAUCAGCAAGACAGGGGCCAGUGAAGAUAUUAACCCCACCUACAAUUUCUCCCAGCUAUCCAGACCAGCCAGAGGUGGACAGAGUGGAAAACAUGUACCUGUUCAUCAAGGAUAAGAAUCUGGGACACCAAGAUGUCUUUACUUAUAAAGGAUUUUGACUUUGAUUUGAAACCUCACCAAGAAUGAAGAAAUUGAAGGACGAGAGGAGUUGAAGGAAGAUGGAAACAGCAGGCUGAGUGAACCUUCUGAUUUAAAAAGAUUUUACGAUGAGGACAAGCGGCCCUAGAUGUCCACCUCAUCUGCUGCAGCAGCAGCAUCAUCAGAGACCGUUUGCUGUCCUGAAGAUCAUCAGGACAAGUGGGAUUCAAACUCAUUUCCAGGGGAGAUUGGGACCUGAAUACAGCCUUCAAAGGUUUAAAAAAUGUGUAAUUAAUGAGAAAGAAAGAAAGACACAAAGUUUAUGCAUUAUUUGAUAAAAGUGCUUGCUAAAUGUUUAUGACCUGGUUUGACACUGAAAAUGAUGAUAUAGGAAUUCCUCAAAGAGCUCCUGAGUUGAGUAAGUGGUGUCAAAAUGUACCAACCUCAUUGCCUACAUCAGUAAACCAGACGGAAAUGAUUUUAUUCUGUUAAGUGGCUGCGUUCUUGAACACACUGUGUUUUUUUUACAGCACUAAUAUCAUCUCAGCUGGAUAUUUUCUCAAAACUGAAUGGAAAAUAAAAGAAUUAUUUGCAAGACUAAAACUACAUUAAACAGCGUUUUUAAAUAAAAGUAAAAUAGUGACAAACUGGCAACUUGUUUAUGUGUCCCAUGCCUGGUCCCAACAAGAACAAGUUGAUGAAGGUAUAAAAGUUAUGAUAUAUGAAAAACAAACAACUGGAAAAAAGGGGGAUCAAGUUUAAAGGUGCUCAGCCAAACUGUGUAACAUUUACAGUAUACAGGGUGUAAAAUGAUAAUUUUAUACCUUUUUAGGCUGAUAAUGAAUCACUGUUACAGACCUUACAUAAAAGC
Xiphias gladius (swordfish) is the source of this 1238-nucleotide long non-coding RNA. RefSeq lists it as uncharacterized. NCBI's taxonomy places the organism in Eukaryota, Metazoa, Chordata, Actinopteri, Istiophoriformes, Xiphiidae. The record is from RefSeq and is a predicted model, not a curated record. The transcript is spliced from 3 exons.